AUGCUCAAAAUUGAUCUUGCUAAGGCUUUUGAUCGGUUAGAAUGGAGCUUUAUAGUGUCUGCGCUUGCUCGUAAAGGGUUGCAUGGUCAUUUUAUUAAUUUGAUCUAUGCCUGCAUUUCUUCUCCGACGUUCUCUGUCAUCAUUAAUGGUCAGCCUUCACCUAAAUUUAAGAGUUAUAGAGGGAUUCGUCAAGGCUGUCCUAUGUCACCAUAUUUAUUUGUUCUCGCUAUUAAUGAAUUGUCUCUUGCUCUUAAUGAUGCUCUUGCUGCUCACCAACUGCAGGGGAUAUUACUUGGACCAAAUUGCCCUCCUAUUCACUCUCUUUUGUUUGCAGAUGAUCUACUUGUUUGUGGAAAGGCCACUGUUGAGGAAGCUACUUCCAUGGCUAAUCAUUCAUCACUUUUGUUCUAUUUCAGGUCAAACUCCAAAUUGGGCCAAAUCUACUAUAAUUUUCAGUGCCCAUGUUGA
RNAcentral lists this ribosomal RNA (468 nucleotides) under Triticum aestivum (bread wheat). Its description in RNAcentral is "partial small subunit ribosomal RNA". Lineage: Eukaryota; Viridiplantae; Streptophyta; Magnoliopsida; Poales; Poaceae. The record is from RNAcentral.